GCGAGAUAGUGUGGAGGAGGCGGAUUUGAAGUCGGAGAUAACAGAGGUGGAGGUCACAGAGAUGGAAGUUGCAGAGAUGACCCUGAUUUUAGGUUUGUUGGCAACGAGGUCUCCUCUUCACCCGUGAAAGGGUUUUUUUUAAUUAUAUCCCUAAUAAUACCUUAAUGGCAAACUUGUGAUUACUGAAAACUAGGUUGGGUUUUAUGCACUUUUGCUUGGUAUAUGUGUUAUGCUAGUAAUUACAAUAUUUUAAGAGUUAGUUGAGUAAUAUUAGGUAUGAUUGGAGUCAUUAUAAGUAAUUUCUCUUUCGAAAAUGUAGAAAGUUGUAUAACUGAAGUUGCGAUCAGAGCGAGUGUUUGGCUAGCUGGUAAUGGAUUAGUGGUUUGGAGCUAGGUCACGAUGUAAUCAACGUGUUUGCGUAGUUAAGCAUUAUGCAACAAUUGCUCUUAUGUUUCUCAAUAAGAAGAGAGAUAGAA
RNAcentral lists this long non-coding RNA (476 nucleotides) under Brassica napus (rape). Its description in RNAcentral is "long non-coding RNA (BNAP_LNC025606)". The record is from RNAcentral. Lineage: Eukaryota; Viridiplantae; Streptophyta; Magnoliopsida; Brassicales; Brassicaceae.